RNA transcript from Culex quinquefasciatus (southern house mosquito), 1337 nucleotides. It is a transcript of the gene named isoleucine--tRNA ligase, cytoplasmic, with no coding region annotated. NCBI's taxonomy places the organism in Eukaryota, Metazoa, Arthropoda, Insecta, Diptera, Culicidae. The transcript has 3 exons. The record is from RefSeq and is a predicted model, not a curated record.
UACUAGGACCCGAUGGAGCUGGUGCACAAGUACGGGGCGGACACGCUGCGGCAGUACCUCAUCAAUUCGCCGGUUGUGCGCGCGGAGAAUUUGCGCUUCAAGGAAGACGACAUCAAGGACGUGUUCCUGCUGUGGUUCAACAAGAUUGUUUAUCGAUAUGACGCGGGUCGUUACGCAAGCAAGCGCUCGACGAACGUGAUGGACGUGUGGAUUACGUCGUUCAAGGAGUCGCAGCUGGAGUUUGUGGCCAAGGAGAUGAAAGCGUUACUUCAAACAUGAAGAUUGAGCGUGCCGUUUCUCGGAAGCAGGCCGUCUUCAAGUUGAGCUGUGUUAUGCGCGAUCGUAGAACCGUCCCCAUCAAGUACCCGGUGACGGAGGUCAUCGUCAUCAACUAGAGCAAGGAAUAUCUGGACGACAUCAAAUCCCUCGUGAACUUUAUCCUCGACGAGCUCAACGUGCGCGAUAUCAUUCUCAGCUCGGACAAGCAAAAGUACAAGCAGGUCAUUCAUGCGGUAAAAGUACUCACGGACCCCCAAAUCGCCGACAAUCUAAAGCUGGGCUUCUUCAGCGUGCUCGGGCAUCGCAUCAAGCUGAACGAACUACGCUUUAUCUACCAGUUCGACGAGCAACAGGCCAGCGGCCGAAACACGGCAACGACAGCAUGGGCAGACAUGGGCACCGCCAGAAGCUUCCGCAUAUCGAGCUCCACGGUCAGCAGCAGCAACGUUUCGACCGCCAACCCACCAAAACACCCACGUCGAGAAGAUCCUUGCAACGCACGACGACGACCGUGGAAGAUCUGUUGUAAAAGUGUCCCGGCCCGCCGUCGGUCGGCAGCCCCGACAAAUUUUAUGAGCUGAAAGAUUUUAACCCACGGAACGCGGACAAAUUUGUUCCUGCUGCGCCGGGUCAGGAGUUUUGAGAUCUGAUCCUGUCGAUAUCUUCCUCGACUGUUCAAUCUUUCAGAAGAUUCUGCGAGGAGUCAACCAUGCGGGAGAUUGCCUUCGACAAGGUGCGUUUGGUGAUGGAUAUGAACCUGAUGGUUGUCAUGAUCGCCAGGACUCGCUCGAAUGUCAUCUAGCACCGAUUCCGCUAAGGACGAUGAAGAAGAAGACAAGCCGGAGCCGUUUUUGUCGCAAAUCGCGCCGUCGUCAUAAUAUCAGGCUGUUUAUCUGGAAGGCCGCCAGGAACUCCUAGAGGCAUUCAUCGACCUUCCUUCGAGCCUAGAUCAAGCUGCGUGAUCACCUGGGCAUUUUCGUAAUCUACAUGUGCGCUUACUUGUUCUUGAUGUGUCGAUUUGAUUCAUAUAAAAUAAUAAAAUAAUAUGGGUGGGGAAG